UCCUGGUUUCCCAGGCAGUCUCAUCAGAGUGCGCUGCAAGCAGCUAGCAACUGAUGACAGGGGUUGCGCUCGUUAGAGGACUUAACCCAACAUCUCACGACACGAGCUGACGACAGCCAUGCAGCACCUGUGCAUCUGUCCGACCCGAAGGCCGAAAAACUGUAUUUCUACAGUGGUCAAAAGCAUGUCAAGCCUAGGUAAGGUUCCUCGCGUAGUGACGAAUUAAACCACAUGUUCCACCGCUUGUGCGGGCCCCCGUCAAUUUCUUUGAGUUUUAAUCUUGCGAUCGUAGUCCCCAGGCGGAUCACUUAGCGCGUUAGCUACGACACCAACCCUGUAAAACAGAGCUGACGUCCAGUGAUCAUCGUUUACGGCGUGGACUAC
This 384-nucleotide unclassified non-coding RNA is filed under the name uncultured bacterium. Its description in RNAcentral is "contains 16S-23S intergenic spacer region". The record is from RNAcentral.